RNAcentral lists this ribosomal RNA (216 nucleotides) under Glomeromycotina sp. RNAcentral describes it as "partial small subunit ribosomal RNA". The stretch from base 87 to 216 matches the Rfam family "Eukaryotic small subunit ribosomal RNA", at positions 733 to 864 of the family's 1831-position model. Lineage: Eukaryota; Fungi; Glomeromycota. The record is from RNAcentral.
GGGUCAGUAGGUUGGUCGUGCCACCGGUACGUACUGGUCUCACUGAUCCCUCCUUCCCGAAGAACCGUAAUGACAUCAAUUUGGUGUUGCGGGGAAACAGGACUGUUACUUUGAAAAAAUUAGAGUGUUUAAAGCAAGCUAACGCUUGAAUACAUUAGCAUGGAAUAAUGAAAUAGGACGAUCGAUCCUAUUUUGUUGGUUUCUAGGAUUGACGUA